ACAGCUGACUGGUGGGCGGGGCGCGCACGCCUGCAGCGUGUUCAGCAGCGCUCAGCUGCACUAUAAGAUCUGCGCUCUGACAGCUGGAGGACGCCAGAAUAUUAACUGUUGUCCGCUCUCGUGCCCCGUGGCUUCUCGUGUGGGAAGAUCUUUUUUUCGGACCUGGACAGCUUAAGUCUUGCUCCACUGGUUACCUGCCUCUGGAUGUUUUUGGAUUGCCCCCAUCGAGCUUACAUGGUCUCGCCUGUUCGGACUGAAGAAGAACCCCUUCGGAUCAGCCUGGUUCCUACUGCUGUCUCUGGACCCACCAGCGCUGCUCGGACCCUGCCCUACGCCUACGCCCACCGAUCAUCUGUUCACAACACUCCAUCUGGAGCUGAGUCCACUCCGCUUCCCCCUCGGUCCGGUUUCCGAGCCUUUGUGAUCGUUCGUGUUCCCACCCGAGUUAACACCUCUCGAGUCUCUCCUCCCGUGAUCGUUCCAUUUAGAACCAGUUUUCGUCUUGUGAUUACUUCACUGAACAAAUCUCCUGCAGUUUUAUUAAUAAAUACCUUAAACUGCUCCCUGUGUGCCGGUGUCCUCUGCAUGUUGGUCAAACAUAUCAAACCAAUCAUGACACCUUUUAAUAUAUAAAAAGAACGACAUGACAAUAUAUUUAUUUAUUAUAUCACAAACUAAUUCUUUGAAAGCUUUGAAAUUAAGAUGUACCCUUGAUAAUCCUUCGAGCAGUCUCCACCUUGGAUGUGAUUCUGGUAAUAG
Fundulus heteroclitus (mummichog) is the source of this 759-nucleotide long non-coding RNA. RefSeq lists it as uncharacterized. The record is from RefSeq and is a predicted model, not a curated record. Lineage: Eukaryota; Metazoa; Chordata; Actinopteri; Cyprinodontiformes; Fundulidae. The transcript has 3 exons.